RNAcentral lists this long non-coding RNA (537 nucleotides) under Monodelphis domestica (gray short-tailed opossum). Its description in RNAcentral is "lncRNA (ENSMODG00000040431.1)". The record is from RNAcentral. Lineage: Eukaryota; Metazoa; Chordata; Mammalia; Didelphimorphia; Didelphidae.
AUUCAUUUUUCUGCUGGCAACAGUUCUACCUUGAAGAUGUUAAAAUUGAACAACCUUCUUUAACUUUUCUGGAGGCCACAAGGAAUUGCCAUCUGCAUCUCCCUUCCUGAUCGGAUGCCUCGUUGCAAGGAGAAAGCAUUCCUGGGUUCUUGAAGGCUACUCCAGUGGAGGGCAAGCUGGACAUACUUCCAGGGGCAGCCUGACCAUGAGCUGUGUCGCUUUCAUCACACCAGCCCAGCUAAACUGAGUGAGAGACUCCGUCACUCAAAGAUGGGCCAAUAGAAAUUUGGGCCAGAUGGGGUGGCACACUCCUUGGAUCCCAGCUAUAAUGGGGGCUGAGGCAACUGGAUCUCUUGAACUCGGAGUUCUGACCUUCAAAGGGCUAUGCCGAUCAAGUAUCCACGUUAACUUGGGCAUCAAUAUGUUCCAUAUAGAAGCACUUGAACUCUGGUUAUGAAUUGACAAUGACCCAAAGCAUAACUUGAACCAAGAUGUUACUUUCAAAGGCUCACAAUGAGGAUUGAGGAUGACCUAGGC